RNAcentral lists this ribosomal RNA (292 nucleotides) under uncultured bacterium. RNAcentral's name for it is "partial 16S ribosomal RNA". It matches the Rfam family "Bacterial small subunit ribosomal RNA", at positions 505 to 796 of the family's 1533-position model. The record is from RNAcentral.
GUGCCAGCAGCCGCGGUAAUACGUAGGGUGCGGGCGUUAAUCGGAAUUACUGGGCGUAAAGGGUGCGCAGGCGGUUUUGUAAGUCAGGCGUGAAAUCCCCGAGCUUAACUUGGGAAUGGCGUUUGAGACUGCAAGGCUAGAGUGUGUCAGAGGGGGGUGGAAUUCCACGUGUAGCAGUGAAAUGCGUAGAGAUGUGGAGGAACACCGAUGGCGAAGGCAGCCCCCUGGGAUAACACUGACGCUCGGGCACGAAAGCGUGGGGAGCAAACAGGAUUAGAUACCCUGGUAGUCC